GGGCGAGUGGUGAAAUUGGCAGACACGCAAGACUUAGGAUCUUGUGCCGCAAGGCUUGCGGGUUCAAAUCCCGCCUCGCCCACCA
This 85-nucleotide transfer RNA is filed under the name Lentisphaerae bacterium RIFOXYA12_FULL_48_11. Its description in RNAcentral is "tRNA-Leu". It matches the Rfam family "tRNA". From Rfam's summary of the family: Transfer RNA (tRNA) molecules are approximately 80 nucleotides in length. Their secondary structure includes four short double-helical elements and three loops (D, anti-codon, and T loops). The record is from RNAcentral. Lineage: Bacteria; Pseudomonadati; Lentisphaerota. RNAcentral also lists the same sequence under 1 other name.